CUCUCAUAUUCACCUCAUUCAUCGUAUGUUCUCUUGUACGCCUCUUCGUAUGUCCCGUUCAUGCAUCUCUCACGAUUCACGGCAAUUGUUCUUGGAGAACUGGGAAAGCCAAAAAUUAGCCCAUUAAUUUUCUAUUCUACGCGGUAGCUACGUGUAUUUCCUCUGGGUUCACAGAACCUUAGAUUUCUUCUCUCAGUUUCUCUUCUCUCUCAUUCUCACAUCUUGUGAUCAAAUUCCCACAGGAGGUUGUAUUUUAAAAUGCGAAUUUUUCCUGAUUUUCGUUUUCCUCUUACCUCUUUGUUUUACUUCCAUCCUUUAUGAAGCAGCUUGAUUUUGCAACGGGCCCUUUUGUUUCGAAGCUACGGGUUUUGCUAGCCGAUUCACAUAAGGAGCUGCUUCAGUUGGAAGAAUGUGUCAAGCUAUUAGAGGAUGUGUACCCUCAAAGGGAAGCAGUAAUGGCCUGAACGUUAAUAUGUGCGGAGCAUUAUUUUGCAAUUUUUCCUCUGGUAAUAAUUUUUGUGCAUGAAUUCACCAGGCAGGGACUUCUUGGGCUUUUUGAUAGUGCCUGGUACCUAGCAAGAUCUGUGUUGGGAAUCUCAGGGUGAAUGUGGAGAAGAAGGUGACAGGAUGACAGGUGGGCAAUCAGAGCUGAUCUCUACAACAUGAAGUGUUCGUGUUGCAUGAGCUCUAUUCGGUGCAGAAUUACCUCUUAAACACAUCUUUAUAUUGUUAAAAAAAGUUGUGGGUGAGCUUGGGAUGGGAUUGAACCUUAGAUCACCCAAGAUCAAAGAUAUGACCAGAGUGUUGUAUAUGGUUUUGUAAAGUAUAGAGAAAGACAUGCUUCUAAGAUUCCUGCACUAUUCUUCUGCAAAAGCUCAGUUGAAACAUUGGAGGCGGGCAUAAGGGCUCUUUCUAACAAAGGCAAAAUUCGAAGGUGACAUUUGUGCUAUUGGCCCUCACUAUUUGCUGUUCAAUACUUUAUCAAAUCCCAUUCUCUACGGUCAUAUGACUUCUCUGACAUAUUCUAAUUAGCUUAUUCAAUUAGUAACUAUAUUUUCCAGCCAAAUUAUUCUGUACGUAGUUAAGAUUUUGCAUUAUAUUUA
Molecule: long non-coding RNA, 1103 nt
Organism: Tripterygium wilfordii
Lineage: Eukaryota; Viridiplantae; Streptophyta; Magnoliopsida; Celastrales; Celastraceae
Exons: 4
Source: RefSeq, a predicted model, not a curated record